CCAGGCUUGAACUGCGAGUGACAUCCUACGAAAGUAGGCUUCCGCAAGGACACUCGUAGAGGUGCUGCAUGGCUGUCGUCAGCUCGUGUCGUGAGAUGUUGGGUUAAGUCCCGCAACGAGCGCAACCCUUGUCUUCUGUUGCCAUCGGGUCAAGCCGGGCACUCUGAAGAGACUGCCGGUGACAAACCGGAGGAAGGUGGGGAUGACGUCAAGUCAGCAUGGCCUUUAUGUCUGGGGCCACACACGUGCUACAAUGGCCGGUACAAACCGUCGCGAGCCCGCGAGGGGGAGCUAAUCGGAGAAAGCCGGUCUCAGUUCGGAUUGUAGGCUGCAACUCGCCUGCAUGAAGUUGGAAUCGCUAGUAAUCGCGGAUCAGCACGCCGCGGUGAAUACGUUCCCGGGCCUUGUACACACCGCCCGUCACAUCACGAAAGCCGGCUGUACUAGAAGUCGCUGCGCUAACCCGCAAGGGGGGCAAGCGCCUAAGGUAUGGUCGGUGAUUGGGGUG
This 508-nucleotide ribosomal RNA is filed under the name uncultured bacterium. RNAcentral's name for it is "bacterial SSU rRNA". It matches the Rfam family "Bacterial small subunit ribosomal RNA", at positions 975 to 1482 of the family's 1533-position model. The record is from RNAcentral.